AUUGAACGCUGGCGGCAGGCCUAACACAUGCAAGUCGAGCGGAUGAAGGGAGCUUGCUCCUGGAUUCAGCGGCGGACGGGUGAGUAAUGCCUAGGAAUCUGCCUGGUAGUGGGGGAUAACGUCCGGAAACGGGCGCUAAUACCGCAUACGUCCUGAGGGAGAAAGUGGGGGAUCUUCGGACCUCACGCUAUCAGAUGAGCCUAGGUCGGAUUAGCUAGUUGGUGGGGUAAAGGCCUACCAAGGCGACGAUCCGUAACUGGUCUGAGAGGAUGAUCAGUCACACUGGAACUGAGAAACGGUCCAGACUCCUACGGGAGGCAGCAGUGGGGAAUAUUGGACAAUGGGCGAAAGCCUGGUCCAGCCAUGCCGCGUGUGUGAAGAAGGUCGUCGGAUUGUAAAGCACUUUAAGUUGGGAGGAAGGGCAGUAAGUUAAUACCUUGCUGUUUUGACGUUACCAACAGAAUAAGCACCGGCUAACUUCGUG
Molecule: ribosomal RNA, 484 nt
Filed under: uncultured bacterium
Lineage: Bacteria
Description: partial 16S ribosomal RNA
Rfam family: Bacterial small subunit ribosomal RNA
Source: RNAcentral